GACGAACGCUGGCGGCGUGCUUAACACAUGCAAGUCGAACGAUGAAGGGGAGCUUGCUCCCUGGAUUAGUGGCGAACGGGUGAGUAACACGCGAGCAACCUGCCCCUAACUCUGGGAUAACGCUUCGAAAGGAGUGCUAAUACCGGAUAUGAGCCUGGAAGACAUCUUCUGGGUUGGAAAGUUUUUCGGUUAGGGAUGGGCUCGCGGCCUAUCAGCUUGUUGGUGAGGUAAAGGCUCACCAAGGCGACGACGGGUAUCCGGCCUGAGAGGGCGACCGGACACACUGGGACUGAGACACGGCCCAGACUCCUACGGGAGGCAGCAGUGGGGAAUAUUGCGCAAUGGGCGAAAGCCUGACGCAGCGACGCCGCGUGAGGGAUGAAGGUCUUCGGAUUGGUAAACCUCUUUCAGCAGGGACGAAGCGAAAGUGACGGUACCUGAAGAAGAAGCACCGGCUAACUACGUG
This 466-nucleotide ribosomal RNA is filed under the name uncultured bacterium. RNAcentral describes it as "bacterial SSU rRNA". It matches the Rfam family "Bacterial small subunit ribosomal RNA", at positions 28 to 507 of the family's 1533-position model. The record is from RNAcentral.